GUGGGGGGUGGGGUGGAGUGUGGCGGCAAAACGCAGACUUAAGAGUCAGAGUCGGGGCGCAGAAGAGUGGGAGUAGGGGUGGAGUGAGACGGGGGCAGCUGUCGUCACAGUCGGUCGGGCGCACAAAUUCGCGUCCUUACUGACACAGGCAGCUGGCCUGUGGGUUCUGACCAGCUGGCUGACUUAGCGCUGGGCCCUUAAGGCUAAAUUGGCAGGGCCUGAAGAGGGAGACACUGAGGGCCUGUCAGAGAGCACCCAUCCAGGAGAAAACGGGCUUCAUCCUGGGGACAGAGCCAGGCCCUGCUGGAGACCCUAACAGGGUAAAAAGUAAAGUUCUGUCUCCCCUACAUCUUGAACCAGAGUGAAGCAUGAUGGAAGAACAGAAGAGCUUCGAAGGCAUGGGAGAAAACUAAGUAAGGGGGAACGUCCCUAACGUUGAACAUAAGCAUAACUGAACCUAGCGAUCUGAGAUGAAUAGUGUAGCCACACUGGAAGAAAAAAAAAAUAACCAACUGAAAUGACUUCUGGGCGCAGUACAUCGACCAUAAACAUCUUCAAGUCCAAAGACAAGAACUGCAAACACAUACUGAACUGUCCCAUAGUAGGGACCCCGAUCACCCAGGAACACACAACACUUCAAUCAUUUUGCUCCUAUCUGAAGAGGAUAUUUACCUUUACCUCCACUCGAUCUCCGGAAAGAAUCUUCUUGUACAGAAGAGGAAAAGACAAAUCCGGGCAGGCUGAAAGAGGCAGCCGAAGCCCACAGGAUGAAAACGUGAUAUUUCCGUUCAUUUGAUUUUCGGAGACCAUUCGACGCCCCUCCCCAGCCCACACAUCUACUCUUGAGAAUGGACGCCUUGUCCUGACUGACGCCCUCUGUUCAAAUUUUCCUUUCGUUGUCGCAAGAUUAGGUUACUACGUAAUCCGAAAGGUCAUACUGAGGAUUAAGACAAUUUCAUGUUAAAUUGGUGACAAAACCCUUA
Leopardus geoffroyi (Geoffroy's cat) is the source of this 983-nucleotide long non-coding RNA. RefSeq lists it as uncharacterized. The record is from RefSeq and is a predicted model, not a curated record. The transcript is spliced from 5 exons. Lineage: Eukaryota; Metazoa; Chordata; Mammalia; Carnivora; Felidae.